Molecule: ribosomal RNA, 368 nt
Filed under: Mastus sphakiotus
Lineage: Eukaryota; Metazoa; Mollusca; Gastropoda; Stylommatophora; Enidae
Description: Mastus sphakiota partial 16S ribosomal RNA
Rfam family: Bacterial large subunit ribosomal RNA
Source: RNAcentral
CGUAGGGUCUUUAACGGCCGCAGUACUCUGACUGUGCUAAGGUAGCAUAAUCAUUUGUCUUAUAAUUGAAGACUAGUAUGAAAGGCAUCAUGGAAAUAAGCUGUCUUACAAAAAAUUUCUUAUAACUUUCUAAAGAGGUGAAAAUUCCUCUAUUAAACAAAAUAAGACGAGAAGACCCUUAGAAUUAUAAUUAAACUUAUUAGAAGAAAAUUUUUGUUGGGGCAACAUUAUCAGAUUGAGAACUGAUAAAGAGCUAUAUUACAAGGCCAUUAUUUUAAAAGAGAAUUUAAUUACCUAAGGGAUAACAGCAUAAUUCUUAAUUGAGAGUAUGACCUCGAUGUUGGACUAGGGACUUUUUUCACUAGACG